This 952-nucleotide long non-coding RNA is filed under the name Homo sapiens (human). RNAcentral's name for it is "non-protein coding CASC16:5". Lineage: Eukaryota; Metazoa; Chordata; Mammalia; Primates; Hominidae. The record is from RNAcentral.
GUCCUCUUUGACACCUACCUUACUCUCUCCCUCCACUCACACUCUGAGAACUGUGCUCAGGGGCAGCGCUACAACUUCCACAUUGGUCUUUACAGGGCUUGAGUGAUUAUUUCAAGAACAGAACGCUGUGUGGAAACCUUUACCAUAUUUCGUUGUAUCUAAGACACAUUUUUUUUUUUUGAAAUUUAACAUCUCUAAGGUUGGGUUAUGUUUCUUCAUCAUUGUCAGGUUGGAGCUUAAUCAGCAGCACUUUUUUUUAAUGUCACACACAGUAAUGGUGAUGCAUCUCACAAUUGAGAUCAUCUUAGACAUGAUGGAAUAUGGAAUCGUGUGCCUGUUACAAGCCAGGCUCUUGUCUGGGUUCUAGAGACGGUGGAAACCAAGACAGCACCAUCCUCUAGUGGUGUUCACAUCCCACCACAGUGGAGUCAGGACUUUGAAGUCCUCCAUUGGAUCUUCUCGGAAGAUGAGGGAAAUGAGAGAGUGUGGAGAGAGAUUUUGUAAGUCCGGUCUGGAAGUGGUCAUUGUUCAGAAUCCAGCCACGUGGGUACAUGGAACUGUAAGGCUAUUUCAACAUGGGAAACUGAAAUCGGGCAUAUCCCUGCGGAAGAAGCUGUCUCUUAGCGAAGAAUAAAACUGUGGACUGACCCCCACCCAUUUGCGAAGAAAGUACUGGGUCUUCAGCUUUCAUUGUUCAGCCGGUGGUCUUUGUGGACAACACCAGGGGCCCCUCCUGCUGAAGACUGUCUGGACUUCCUGAUUUUCACUCCUGUAUAAACCCCCUCCCCCAUUACUACCUUUGUCUCCUUGGGGAAAAAAAAUGUUUUUCACUUAAGCAAAAUAAUAACUACCCAGUAUUUGUUUCUGGAGUGAAAUUGUAAACUUCAUUGUACAUUCUUCCUGGCUUUGAUGCUUAUCGUGAAGAGUUCAGUGAAAAUAAAUUGUUUUUAUG